AGCAGCCGCGGUAAUUCCAGCUCCAAUAGCGUAUAUUAAAGUUGUUGCAGUUAAAAAGCUCGUAGUUGAAUUUCGGGAUCAGUUCGCUGGUCGUGCCUCUGGUAUGUACUGGUGUUUCUGGUUCCUCCCUUCUGAAGAACUGUCAUGUCAUUAAUUUGGUGUGGCGGGGAAUCAGGACUGUUACUUUGAAAAAUUAGAGUGUUUAAAGCAGGCUCGCGCUUGAAUACAUUAGCAUGGAAUAAUGAAAUAGGACGUUCGAUCCUAUUUUGUUGGUUUCUAGGAUUGACGUAAUGAUUAAUAGGGAUAGUUGGGGGCAUUAGUAUUCAAUUGUCAGAGGUGAAAUUCUUGGAUUUAUUGAAGACUAACUACUGCGAAAGCAUUUGCCAAGGAUGUUUUCAUUAAUCAAGAACGAAAGUUAGGGGAUCGAAGACGAUCAGAUACCGUCGUAGUCUUAACCAUAAACUAUGCCGACUAGGGAUCGGA
This 483-nucleotide ribosomal RNA is filed under the name uncultured Glomus. RNAcentral describes it as "SSU rRNA". It matches the Rfam family "Eukaryotic small subunit ribosomal RNA", at positions 569 to 1057 of the family's 1831-position model. The record is from RNAcentral. Lineage: Eukaryota; Fungi; Glomeromycota; Glomeromycetes; Glomerales; Glomeraceae.